Molecule: ribosomal RNA, 492 nt
Filed under: uncultured bacterium
Lineage: Bacteria
Description: partial 16S ribosomal RNA
Rfam family: Bacterial small subunit ribosomal RNA
Source: RNAcentral
AGUGAACGCUGGCGGUAGGCCUAACACAUGCAAGUCGAACGGCAGCACAGUAAGAGCUUGCUCUUACGGGUGGCGAGUGGCGGACGGGUGAGGAAUACAUCGGAAUCUACUUUUUCGUGGGGGGUAACGUAGGGAAACUUACGCUAAUACCGCAUACGACCUACGCGUGAAAGCAGGGGAUCUUCGGACCUUGCGCGAUUGAAUGAGCCGAUGUCGGAUUAGCGAGUUGGCGGGGUAAAGGCCCACCAAGGCGACGAUCCGUAGCUGGUCUGAGAGGAUGAUCAGCGACACUGGAACUGAGACACGGUCCAGACUCCUACGGGAGGCAGCAGUGGGGAAUAUUGGACAAUGGGCGCAAGCCUGAUCCAGCCAUACCGCGUGGGUGAAGAAGGCCUUCGGGUUGUAAAGCCCUUUUGUUGGGAAAGAAAAGCAGCAGGUUAAUACCCCGCUGUUCUGACGGUACCCAAAGAAUAAGCACCGGCUAACUUCGCG